RNAcentral lists this small RNA (1299 nucleotides) under Arabidopsis thaliana (thale cress). RNAcentral's name for it is "ATSL019960". The record is from RNAcentral. Lineage: Eukaryota; Viridiplantae; Streptophyta; Magnoliopsida; Brassicales; Brassicaceae.
GUGUGAUGUUUAUUAACUUUUGAAAUAGUUAACUUUUGUUUAUUGGACAUAUGGUUAUUUGUUCAUUAAAAUAUUGUAACUAUUUCAUGUUUUAAUGUAUAUUUGUUUUUCUAAUUUGCAAUAGGUAUCACUAUGGGAGAUUCACAACCAAGGGGGAGAUUAUAAGCCGUGGUCUCGAAAGGAGACUAAGUUGUUGGUGCAACUUCUUGAGGAAAAGAUCAACAAUAAUUAGCGUGAUUCUAAUGGCACAAUAAGUAAAUUAACUGUGGAAACGAAUAUUAUAUCGAAAAUCAACAAGUUUUGUCGUUCAAAAAACUACAAUCACUACCAAAACAGAAUGAAGUAUUUUAAAAUACAAUACCAAAUAUAUCUUGAUCUUCAGCGUUUUAGUUGUGGUUUUGGUUGGGAUCUUUUGACAAAAAGAUUUAUGGCUUUUGAUAAAGUUUAGGGCAAUUAUCUAAAAGUAAGUAUCUCAUUUUCUUUUUAAGCGAACAUGGUUGUAUUUACAUGUUAUUAAUUGGUCCUUUUGUUUUUGUUGGCACAUCCAAACAAUAAACAACUUCGUUAUGAUACAUUUGAAUUUUUUGGCGAGUUGCAAAUCAUAUUUGGGGAAAGUGUUGCUACUGGAAAAAAUGCAAUAGGAUUAUGUGAUUGUACGGAUGCACAUACGUACAAAGCUGGAGAGAAACCGAGAGAAGAAUAUGUGGAUGAUUUUGACAAAGGGUAUGAGUAUGAUACUAGAACUCAUCAUGAGUCAUCGGAGCAUUACGCACCAUUUAUGUCUCAUGGAACUUCAGAAAAUCAUAUAGAAAAGCAGAUCUGAGAGAAAUACUGCACAAAAAGAAGAAAGCCGUAUAAUGGUUGCUACCAGUAAACUUUUGGAUAUAAUAUAACAAAGAGAAAAGAGGCAACAAAAAGAAGUGGCACAAAAAAGAAUAACGUUUGGGAUGUUAUGAAAUAAACUUCUAAUUUGGAUGAACAUAUUCGUCAAGGCACUUACCAAAAUUUAUCAUUGGAACACAAGACGUUUUUGUGAGCAUGUCCGUGGAAGAGAGGCUAUGAUAGAUACAAACCAGUAUGGAAUAAAUAUAGUUUUUACUUGUUUUUUUUUAAUAUUUUUUAGGUUUUAAAGUUGUUUUUACGUCGCAUUUUUAUUUUCUUUAUUUUUAAAGUUUUAAUUUGGAUUCACCAAAAAUUUUAUGAAUAAAUUCUUUAUCUUACUUUUUAUUCUAAAACUUCAAAUAGAAAGUUUGGAAAGAAAAAAAGUGGUUAAAGAAGUUUUGUUGGAUUUCGAUUAGA